AGGUUCGUAGUGACCUGCGGAGGAUCAUUAUCGAGUUUUGAACGGGUUGUAGCUGGCCUCUCACGAGGCAUGUGCACGCCUGGCUCAUCCACUCUUAACCUCUGUGCACUUUAUGUAAGAGAAAAAAAUGGUGGAAGCUUCCAGGAUCUCGCGAGAGGUCUUCGGUUGAACAAGCCGUUUUUCUUUCUUAUGUUUUACUACAAACGCUUCAGUUAUAGAAUGUCAACUGUGUAUAACACAUUUAUAUACAACUUUCAGCAACGGAUCUCUUGGCUCUCGCAUCGAUGAAGAACGCAGCGAAAUGCGAUAAGUAAUGUGAAUUGCAGAAUUCAGUGAAUCAUCGAAUCUUUGAACGCACCUUGCACUCCUUGGUAUUCCGAGGAGUAUGCCUGUUUGAGUCUCAUGGUAUUCUCAACCCCUAAACUUUUGUAAUGAAGGUUUAGCGGGCUUGGACUUGGAGGUUGUGUCGGCCCUUGUCGGUCGACUCCUCUGAAAUGCAUUAGCGUGAAUCCUACGGAUCGCCUUCAGUGUGAUAAUUAUCUGCGCUGUGGUGUUGAAGUAUUUAUGGUGUUCAUGCUUCGAACCGUCUCCUUGCCGAGACAAUCAUUUGACAAUCUGAGCUCAAAUCAGGUAGGACUACCCGCUGAACUUAAGCAUAUCAACUAAGCGGAGGAAAAGAAAGCUAAACAAAGGAUUCCCCUAGUAACUGCGAGUGAAGCGGGAAAAGCUCAAAUUUAAAAUCUGGCGGCUUUGGUCGUCCGAGUUGUAUUCUAGAGAAGUGUUUUCCGCGCUGGACCGUGUACAAAUUCUCCUAAAA
RNAcentral lists this ribosomal RNA (817 nucleotides) under Irpex lacteus. Its description in RNAcentral is "eukaryotic LSU rRNA". The stretch from base 250 to 403 matches the Rfam family "5.8S ribosomal RNA". Lineage: Eukaryota; Fungi; Basidiomycota; Agaricomycetes; Polyporales; Irpicaceae. The record is from RNAcentral.